GCAAGUGAGGGUGAUUGUCUGUGUUGUCUGUCACCCCAUUGAUUGCUGAGGUUGAUCUGGCUGGCUGGGUGUCCUAUUCCUCUCUCACUAUUACACAAGCAUCCCUUUGGAAGCUCUGUGUUCAGUGGAAGAGGAUGACGANUGCAGGUUGGAGAAGGUAAGGAUAUAUGAUAGCUGUACUCUGCUAGAACUUGUGAAGAAGCUCAAGGUCCAUAAUAUGGCACGUACUGAAUGCUGUCUUUG
This 243-nucleotide small nuclear RNA is filed under the name Salvator merianae (Argentine black and white tegu). RNAcentral describes it as "7SK RNA (ENSSMRG00000020169.1)". It matches the Rfam family "7SK RNA". Rfam says of the family: 7SK was discovered as an abundant small nuclear RNA in the mid-70s but a possible function has only recently been suggested. Lineage: Eukaryota; Metazoa; Chordata; Lepidosauria; Squamata; Teiidae. The record is from RNAcentral.